RNAcentral lists this non-coding RNA (199 nucleotides) under Clostridia bacterium. RNAcentral describes it as "6S RNA". It matches the Rfam family "6S / SsrS RNA". From Rfam's summary of the family: E. coli 6S RNA was the first non coding RNA to be sequenced, but its function was unknown until recently. The record is from RNAcentral. Lineage: Bacteria; Bacillati; Bacillota; Clostridia.
AAUUUCCUGCGGUGUGCGUCGCUUGCUAGAAUUAUAACCACAGAAAUAUAAAGGGAUUGUGCGUACGGGUUUGGACGUCAAGCCAAGGCUGACGAAGUCAGCACCAAAAAAUUGGUAGACAAAUACUCCCGUCAACUAACCCACCUCGCUUGUUUGCGGGUUUAUAUUGUGCAAGAAUGACGGCUCAUGCGGGAUUUUU